UAAUUUCCAAGUUUCAACCAUAAAAUAUUUGAAUUGAUAGUCAUAGUAUAAGGUCCCUGAAAUGAGGUUUCAGAAAAUGAAGAUAGGAGUGCUGAUAUUGCUAUCAUGGGCUGCCACAGUGUCAACAGAUGUAGAAUGCGGCACCGUGACGGGGUUGCUCUCAGUUUGCUCAACAUUUAUCAGCUAUGGUUCACCUGACCCACUUCCAGGUUCCCCAUGCUGUAAUGCAAUGAUAAGCCUGAGGUUGAUCGCAGAAUCCGGUGAUAAUAGGAGGUCCGUUUGUAGAUGCUUCAUGGGCCUUAUUGCUGCUUAUAAUCCAUUAGGCACUGCUGUGGCUACUUUGCCUGGCCUUUGUGGAAUUAAUCUGGGCUUCGUUGUUUAUCCUAAUACAGAUUGUACCUCCUUUCAUUGAGUUUGGUUCCAAGGGAAGAAGUUGGAGGAAAUAUGAAUUAGAGAUUGAAUAAGAAGUAUGUCUUCAAGUACUCUUUUUUAAACAAAUUUGAAAAUAACUAAGUUUCCCCACUCCUUGAAGGGGAAAAUAAAUGGUUGGUAUUGCAGAAGGAUUGCUUAGCAUGAUGACUUUGUGUGUUUGUUUACUGAAUAUAAUAAGCAUAUUUUUAGUAUUUCUCUAAUUAACCUGUGUUUCUUAGCUGAAGAAACAAUGAGGAAGGUAUAUUUAGUAAGCUUGUUUAAUUUGUAAGGAAAAGCCAAGUACAGUUUCAUAUGAAUAAAAUGAUAGAUUUGUUCCUAAAAUCUAAAAAUACAAAACUUGUAUGGAUAAUUAUGCAAUUCUAUUUGGUUCUUGACAUCAGAAUACAGAAUCAAGCAGAACUGAAGAAAUGUUCCCAUUGGCAGUCACUUACAGUAAUGAUGAAUCCUAUAAAACUUGGAUUUGUUAUUUGUCAUUUCCUUUUGCCAAAAAAUCUCACAGGAUCGAGGCAGUGGUAAAAGGAGAAAAACAGCGUAUCCUUUCAAGAAUUGCUUUUAUGCGUUGCAAUCACUUACCAUUUUAUGUCAGCAAAGGCAAAAACUUUUCAAUUUCCUUUUCAAUGUGGUCAUGAUAAUAAUUUUCAUAUCAUCAACAUUCUUCAACUGUGUCUUUCAUUGGCUUCUUGUGGGUAUCCAAGGUUACAUUUGACAGAUGUGGUAUAUUGCAUCUCUGUCAAUCCGAUAUGUAACCAUAUGAGGCAAAUCACCGAUAGGACAAAUGGGGCCACUCACCAUAGACAAAGCAAGAGAAAUUAUCUAACCAUCUGUGAAUGCACAUGGGGAUAAUGAUACAGAUACUCUUUAGUUUUCAAUAGGAAACUUUGUGUGAAUGAUCAAAUAUGUGCUAGUUGAGACAAUUAAAGAAAGGGUUGUAGAAGAAGUUUGUACAGCUGCUCUGCUGAUAAUGGCAUGGUUAGGAAGUAUCAUUGAUUCAACAACUGAAGUUGAGGUGAUAAUGGCUCCACUUUCCACAGUUAGAAAAGCAUGGUUGAAAUUCUUCUCGUACAUACCAGUUGGAAGUAGUUGCUGAUAACUAAACAACGAACUUGUGAUAAUGGAGGAAGCUGGAAGUGGAACACAUUAAUAGUGUUUCCAUGCAAGCAUGCGUGCAACCACAACAGCAAAGCUUACAUCGGUACUCCUAGUCUAUUCAAGCGCCCAGAUGCUGGAUAAGCUCUGUUUCCAAAGUUGGAUUGUUGAGCAAAUCCCCUUUCUGAAAUAGUGUCUGCAUCAUAAAACCCUUGGACAGGCCUUUUGCUUGAACCAUACUUUUCAAAGUCUAGCCUCUGCUUUGGGGCACUUUGCGAUCUAACCUUAGCCCGAGAGGAUUCUGUGUUAGCCAUGUAGUUCGGGUGACCUGAGUAUCCAUUAAAAAAGCCCCAUGAGCACUCACUCCUUGUGGGUGUAAAAGGACCUCUUCUACCACUACUCCCAGGUCUAGAUGAUGGGGAAAACACAUAAGGGUUGUUCUCCACAUUCCUCAAAACUGCAUCGUCUUUUCCGAGGGGAAAUUUGAGAGAGUUUAACGAUAAAACUUCUCCUGAAGAGACAGUUGGCAUUUGAUAUGUUGCUUUUGAUGAUAAGUUUGACGGCAAGUCCAAUGUUGUAAAGCUCUGGCUGUUGUGAUCUGAAGCCAUAAAUUUCAUCUGGGGCUUCCAAGUAUCCACUUCAAGGAUUUUAUCACUCUUUUCAUCAUCAGUGUGUCGAUUUCUCAUUGGAAUGUUACCAUGGCUAUUAUGAAAACUUUCUUCCAUCCAACGAUCUAACCAAUUUGAACCUAGUUUUGCUUCAUCUAGGUGAAAGAUGUCUCUCAGAUUUGUAUUUGAACAACAUCUAGUAUGACGUGACUGAGAAGGCUUGGUAGAUGAAUGCCGUAAUUCUGACACGUGAGUGCGGCUAGCACAGGCUCGAGCCUGCACUCUCACCAAAGUUUGCAUUCGCCUAAGCAUGUCUGCUGUUUGCUUUCUCACAAUGUGGCCUCUCACUAAUGCUUGAAGCUUUACUAGUGCUUUCAAUGCUCUUAGUGCCCUUCUAGCCAGAUAACCACGAAACGCUGACUGUAUCUUGACCGCGGAGAGUUCCUCCUCUCGCCGAUGGUCACUCCCACUGGCUUGACCUGGUGCAGAACUUCUCCCACCACCGCCGCGGCCAACACUAGUUAAUCUCACGACCUCUGCUGCUGCUUGAGCCGCCGCGAGUGCUGCCUCGGCAACUGCCGCAGUGGCCGCUGCAACAGCUAUGGCGUGCUUGUUUGCAUCCAAAUUAUCAUCAUACGGACCCGAUACAGAUUCAUACUUAUUGAACUGAGACGGAAUCGUAUUGGAAGAUCUAGCGAAGCUCCACCUUCUCUUCUCCUUGGCGGGCGGCGAAGGCCCAGCCCUUUUAGAGCCAAAAAGUCGCUGGAAAAAUCCCAUGUCUCAUAGUUUAAAUGAUUUGGCAAGUGAACGACAUUAGUGGAGAGAGAGUGAGCUGAAGGACGAGAAUAGAGAACCCCGGGACCGAGAAG
RNAcentral lists this unclassified non-coding RNA (2995 nucleotides) under Hevea brasiliensis (rubber tree). Lineage: Eukaryota; Viridiplantae; Streptophyta; Magnoliopsida; Malpighiales; Euphorbiaceae. The record is from RNAcentral.